This 395-nucleotide long non-coding RNA is filed under the name Gossypium raimondii (Peruvian cotton). RNAcentral describes it as "long non-coding RNA (GRAI_LNC000577)". The record is from RNAcentral. Lineage: Eukaryota; Viridiplantae; Streptophyta; Magnoliopsida; Malvales; Malvaceae.
GCGUUUUUUUUGGGGGGUAAAAGGAAUGGAUGCUCGGAAGUAACAAGAAAUAAUAACAAAAUAAAACUCACAAGACUUUUCACUUCUUUUUUUUAUACUUCGAUUUUUUUUCACUUCAAAUACAAUUGAAUAAUACCAAAAUAUCUUUAAAAUUCACGAAAUCCUCUUCUCUUUUUUUUCAAUUUUUUUCUUUCUCUCUCUUUUUUUUGCUCGAUUUUUUUUCACUUUUUUUUUGAAUUUUUUUGAAUUUUCUUUCUUUUUUUUAAUCCAAUACAAUAGUAAGCCAAAUACAAUAAAGAAAAGAGAAAAUAAAAUAAAAUUCAACUCGAGAUUUUUUUUUAUUUUUUUGACUUUUUUUUACCAACCUAUCUUUCGAGAUAGCUACGAACAUCGGU